Molecule: ribosomal RNA, 43 nt
Filed under: Stemphylium lycopersici
Lineage: Eukaryota; Fungi; Ascomycota; Dothideomycetes; Pleosporales; Pleosporaceae
Also listed under: 2 other names
Description: partial 18S ribosomal RNA
Rfam family: Eukaryotic small subunit ribosomal RNA
Source: RNAcentral
GCGUAACAAGGUCUCCGUAGGUGAACCUGCGGAGGGAUCAUUA